This 411-nucleotide ribosomal RNA is filed under the name uncultured prokaryote. RNAcentral's name for it is "bacterial SSU rRNA". It matches the Rfam family "Bacterial small subunit ribosomal RNA", at positions 505 to 918 of the family's 1533-position model. The record is from RNAcentral.
GUGUCAGCCGCCGCGGUAAUACGGAGGGUGCAAGCGUUAUCCGGAUUCACUGGGUUUAAAGGGUGCGUAGGCGGGCUUGUAAGUCAGUGGUGAAAGCCCGGGGCUUAACUCCGGAAUUGCCGUUGAUACUGCAAGCCUUGAGUACAGGUGAGGUGGGCGGAAUACGUCAUGUAGUGGUGAAAUACUUAGAUAUGAUGUAGAACACCGAUUGCGAAGGCAGCUCGCUAAACUGUAACUGACGCUGAGGCACGAAAGCGUGGGGAUCAAACAGGAUUAGAUACCCUGGUAGUCCACGCCCUAAACGAUGUUCACUCGACAUUAGCGAUAUACUGUUAGUGUCCAAGCAAAAGCGUUAAGUGAACCACCUGGGGAGUACGACCGCAAGGUUGAAACUUAAAUGAAUUGACGGGG